Molecule: ribosomal RNA, 263 nt
Filed under: Enterococcus faecium
Lineage: Bacteria; Bacillati; Bacillota; Bacilli; Lactobacillales; Enterococcaceae
Description: partial 16S ribosomal RNA
Rfam family: Bacterial small subunit ribosomal RNA
Source: RNAcentral
GACNUGGGCUACACACGUGCUACAAUGGGAAGUACAACGAGUUGCGAAGUCGCGAGGCUAAGCUAAUCUCUUAAAGCUUCUCUCAGUUCGGAUUGCAGGCUGCAACUCGCCUGCAUGAAGCCGGAAUCGCUAGUAAUCGCGGAUCAGCACGCCGCGGUGAAUACGUUCCCGGGCCUUGUACACACCGCCCGUCACACCACGAGAGUUUGUAACACCCGAAGUCGGUGAGGUAACCUUUUUGGAGCCAGCCGCCUAAGGUGGGA